Molecule: small RNA, 29 nt
Filed under: Bombyx mori (domestic silkworm)
Lineage: Eukaryota; Metazoa; Arthropoda; Insecta; Lepidoptera; Bombycidae
Description: ovarian small RNA-16308
Source: RNAcentral
GCACCGCCAGGCGCGUGGUUCGAGAAGGC